Long non-coding RNA from Eptesicus fuscus (big brown bat), 334 nucleotides. RefSeq lists it as uncharacterized. Lineage: Eukaryota; Metazoa; Chordata; Mammalia; Chiroptera; Vespertilionidae. The record is from RefSeq and is a predicted model, not a curated record. The transcript has 3 exons.
UCAACCAUGGAUGGGCCUCUGGGCCGCAGAGAGCCUCUGAGCAGUGGGCACAGAGUGGCCAGGCCCUGCAGAGAGCUAUUGGUGCAUGGAUUCGUGUGCAGGGCUACUAGUUAAGGUCUUCGCUCUUUCCAGACUACAUUGGGCCUCCACCAGCUUUCCAACCAACCUGGAUGAAUUGUUUUUCCUGGUGACCAGUUGCUCCCUCUCUAGAUGCCACUGCGCACAUGCUGCGGCCGUUGAUAUGAGAGGGAUGUGGUCAGCCACCGUGCGAGGAAGGAUUGAUGUCUUUCCCAUUAGCCUCGGGAGUCUUCAUAUCUUCCCCGCUCCCAAGUUU